GACAGAGGCCUCAAGCGUUAGGCGGAAUCACUGGGCUUAAAGCGUGUGUAGGCGGAUCGUUAAGUGUCUUGUGAAAUCCCACGGCUCACCCGUGGAACGGCUGGGCAUACUGGCGAUCUUGGGCCAACUAGGGGCAACUGGAACAAGCGGUGGAGCGGUGAAAUGCGUAGAUAUCGCUUGGAACGCCGAAGGUGAAAACAGGUUGCUGGGGUUGUGCCGACGCUGGAGACACGAAAGCCAGGGGAGCAAACGGG
RNAcentral lists this ribosomal RNA (254 nucleotides) under uncultured bacterium. RNAcentral describes it as "partial 16S ribosomal RNA". It matches the Rfam family "Bacterial small subunit ribosomal RNA", at positions 524 to 776 of the family's 1533-position model. The record is from RNAcentral.